GAAAUGCAGCUGAGGUAGACACAAAACUUCCAAACAAGAGUGCACUCAAGUCUCCAGUUCAAUUGAAAUGUUCCCUUAAUUUUUUUUAUCUAUUUUUUUGGCAGGACCUGAAUCCAUGACAGAGCAUUCAAGAAGUGAUCGGUUGACCAUAUCUCCAAGCACGGCCUUCUUUUUCCAUCUCAACCUAUAGAACAUAAAUGAUCUGAACUCCACAUUGAAACGAGUCCACUCAUUGGUUGCCUUGCCAACAGUCAGCAUUAAAGCAAUUGCAGCCAAGAAAUGUUACCAAGGGACAUGAACGUCCUAGGCCAAUGCUACACAAAUUAAAU
RNAcentral lists this long non-coding RNA (329 nucleotides) under Panax ginseng (ginseng). RNAcentral's name for it is "long non-coding RNA (PGIN_LNC011834)". The record is from RNAcentral. Lineage: Eukaryota; Viridiplantae; Streptophyta; Magnoliopsida; Apiales; Araliaceae.